Molecule: ribosomal RNA, 2383 nt
Filed under: Clostridioides difficile CD13
Lineage: Bacteria; Bacillati; Bacillota; Clostridia; Peptostreptococcales; Peptostreptococcaceae
Description: partial 16S ribosomal RNA
Source: RNAcentral
UUGUUGAUGAAGAACCCGACAAACGAAAAAAUGACUGGAAACUCAAUGACCGCUGGGCGUGGUUUAUUGGAGAUAAUCGGCAAAGUCUGAAACUGACGACAAAGCCAGAGCCUUAUACCUUAGACCGUACAUUGCGUUGGGUACAAAGGCAGGUAGCACCGACCUUGAAAAUGCUGAAAAAGAUUGAUAAAGGAAACGGUACAGACUACAUGGAAACAAUCGAACAGCAGGCAAAGCUCACAGAAAAGCAUGAAAUGAUAAUCAAACAGCAGACGACCCCUGCAAAAGAUUUAGUAAAAAGUUAGGAGUUAUAAAAAAUGUGGGAAUUAGUAAAAGACUUCCUGCUGGUAUCUCUGGGAAUGGGAUCGGCGUAGUCUUGAUGUGUAUUAUGAGUGUCGGCAAAGAAGCUGACUAUGAAAUGAAACAAUUAAAAGAAAGCGAGGACAAUUAAAUGAAUUUCGGACAAAAUCUUUACACUUGGUUUUUAAGCAACGCACAGAGCUUAGUGCUUAUGGCGAUUGUGGUUAUUGGUAUCUACUUAGGGUUCAAGCGUGAGUUUUCAAAACUUAUCGGCUUCUUGGUAGUUGCCUUGAUUGCUGUCGGAUUGGUAUUCAAUGCUGGCGGUGUGAAAGAUGUACUGUUAGAGCUGUUCAAUAAGAUUAUUGGAGCAUAACGAAUUUUAUUGUUGCUGUAAUAUGAGAAUGUUAUAAUGUGGGUACGAUAAAUUAUUUUUUGAAAGGAAUAAAAGUGCUUAUGAUUUCAGAUGAAAUGAGAGUGGAUAUUUUACAUGCAGUAUUCAUAAACAAAAAUUUUAUUAAAGAUGAAGAAAAUUGUAAUUAUGAAAAAUACUUGUUGGAAUUAGUUAAUAAAUCAAUCUAUUUUAGAGAAAAAUCAAAUUUUGCAGAAUAUGUACCACCUAAAUCUGAAAAUCAUGGAGAAUGUGAUUGUAACUCACCUAAUUAUCAAAUGGACUUUAAAUUACUUGAAAGCACAACAAGACUUCAUGCUUCAAAAGAACUUACUGGUCAAAUACAGAAAUUCUGUGAUGGUGUAAUUGGUAAGUGUCCACCGAGAAGACCAAAUACACAAAUGACUGUAACUAGGUUAUUUGCUUCGUUGCGGGAUUAUGAUUGUGAAAGUUUACAUUCUUGUCUUACAGAGAAAUAUGAGUAUGGAACGAUUGAAUUUGAUGUACAAACCUAUGUGAAAUUGCUUACUUUCAAGAAAAACUUAUUUUUCUUUUUUCCAUACAAGUUUAGUUUUAAUACUCGUUAUAACUUUAAAUAUGCUUUAGAUAGUAUAAGAAUUGCUUUAGAAAAAGAUUUUAGAGAGUCAAAUCUUUUUAGAGAAAAAUACUAUGCAGAGUAUGAUACUUUCUUAGCAUAUAUCUAUGAAGAUAAUCUGAUAAUAAGUAAAUUUGAAAAAGACGGCAAGUUACAAAUGAUUGAUUGUAUAUAUUUAUUUAAAAGUCAAACAUACAGUAAACUUUACGAGUACACAUGGCAAAUCAGUUACACUUAAACAAAUUCAUACUUACACAUAAAGCAGUUAGUCUUAGGAUUGACUGCUUUUUUCUUACCUAAAAUCAGAUUGGAGUGAUGAAAUGAACGAUAUUUUUAAGGAUAUGCAGGUAAAAGUCGGUUGUGAUUAUAUUUCCGACCUGCCCUCUUACAAGCGUAAGGUGUGGCAUGAAAUGAAACGGCUGAACCUUGCCAAUUAUGAAGAAAAACAGUUAGAAGAUUUUUCUAAAUAUGUGUUUGGUAUGUCAUACCAGACCUUAAAAGAUGUGAUGAAACAACAGAAAGGACGUGAAGAACAAUGCAGGAAACAAGGGUGCUGGUGGAAACGAGAGGAACAACUGGCGAAGAAACAACAUCAUACUGGUUCGACCUGCCGAUAGAUGUUGCCGAGUUUGAAGAAAAAUUAGGUAUUGGUGCAGAAAGUCAAGAGUACCGCAUUAUCGAAAAGGUACUGCCCUUUGCUGAUGAAGUCCAUGAACAUACCAGCGUGUACCAGCUCAACGAAUUAGAUUUUAUGUACCACCAGCUUUCAAGCGAUAUGCAGGAAGAAUAUACAACGCUUCUUUCCGUGUAUGAAAAUUUAGAAGCACUUUAUAUUUGCAGGAACGUGAUUACGGUUUAUCCCGACUGCAAAAGCAUGAUUGAUGUUGCAAGGCAAAAGCUGAUGAAUGACCCGACAUUCAAGCAUUUAUCCGAGGACUGUCAAGAAUACUAUUUUGACUUUGAAGCCUACGCUUUGCACUUGCAGGAACACGGGAAGUUUUUAGUAACAGAACACGGUAUCUUUGAACUGCCAGAGUAAGAAAUGAGGUGGUGCUUAUGAUUGAUGAUAUGGCGGUUUAUAUUGCUAAUCUCGGCAAAUA